This 420-nucleotide ribosomal RNA is filed under the name uncultured bacterium. RNAcentral describes it as "bacterial SSU rRNA". It matches the Rfam family "Bacterial small subunit ribosomal RNA", at positions 28 to 437 of the family's 1533-position model. The record is from RNAcentral.
GAUGAACGCUAGCGGCAGGCUUAACACAUGCAAGUCGAGGGGCAGCAUAAUGAAGUAGCAAUACGGAAUUGAUGGCGACCGGCGCACGGGUGCGUAACGCGUAUGUAACCUACCUCUAACAGGGGGAUAACACUGAGAAAUUGGUACUAAUACCCCAUAACACUUGAUAGGCAUCCUAUUGAGUUGAAAGUUCCGGCGGUUAGAGAUGGACAUGCGUUGUAUUAGCUAGAUGGUGAGGUAACGGCUCACCAUGGCGACGAUACAUAGGGGGACUGAGAGGUUAACCCCCCACACUGGUACUGAGACACGGACCAGACUCCUACGGGAGGCAGCAGUGAGGAAUAUUGGGUCAAUGGUCGGAAGACUGAACCAGCCAAGUAGCGUGAAGGAUGAAGGUUCUAUGGAUUGUAAACUUCUUUU